Molecule: ribosomal RNA, 445 nt
Filed under: uncultured bacterium
Lineage: Bacteria
Description: bacterial SSU rRNA
Rfam family: Bacterial small subunit ribosomal RNA
Source: RNAcentral
CCCAGACUCCUACGGGAGGCAGCAGUGGGGGAUAUUGCACAAUGGGGGAAACCCUGAUGCAGCGACGCCGCGUGAGUGAAGAAGUAUUUCGGUAUGUAAAGCUCUAUCAGCAGGGAAGAAAAUGACAGUACCUGACCAAGAAGCCCCGGCUAACUACGUGCCAGCAGCCGCGGUAAUACGUAGGGGGCAAGCGUUAUCCGGAUUUACUGGGUGUAAAGGGAGCGUAGACGGUGCAGCAAGUCUGAUGUGAAAGGUCGGGGCCCAACCCCGGGACUGCAUUGGAAACUGUUGAACUGGAGUACAGGAGAGGUAAGCGGAAUUCCUAGUGUAGCGGUGAAAUGCGUAGAUAUUAGGAGGAACACCAGUGGCGAAGGCGGCUUACUGGACUGCAACUGACACUGAGGCUCGAAAGUGUGGGUAUCAAACAGGAUUAGAUACCCCGGUA